This 191-nucleotide unclassified non-coding RNA is filed under the name uncultured fungus. Its description in RNAcentral is "sequence contains ITS1". The record is from RNAcentral. Lineage: Eukaryota; Fungi.
GUAUUUUGGUUUUAACCAAGACUUCAUUCUCAGACUUUAAGAGUAUGAAAAAGUGGAGAAUAGGGAUCAACCUAUCCUCCCACAGUUCGACAAAGGUGUAUGAGAUGAAGGAAGGGCCCGACCCGAGUGGCGUCAGGACUCCAACCAAGUUGUUUUCGAUAAUGAUCCUUCCGCAGGUUCACCUACGGAAA